GGGUGGCUGUUCUGGUCUAAUCAUACCUCCUCCUAUUGAGUUGGACCUUAGUGGUUGCUAUGUGUGUGUUGAGACUAGCCAUCAAGCUUAGGACUGUCCCCAUUAUUUGUUAAGGGCUACUCCUAUUUUAGUUGUGAGAUCUAGGGGUUCUACCAGGAGUCUAUGAGGAAGAGGUAGUAAAGCCUGUGAUAUUGGUCACAGGGCUAUUUAUCCAGUUGGUAUUCAUGGAUAGUGCUAUGUUAU
This 243-nucleotide long non-coding RNA is filed under the name Capsicum annuum. RNAcentral's name for it is "long non-coding RNA (CANN_LNC020127)". Lineage: Eukaryota; Viridiplantae; Streptophyta; Magnoliopsida; Solanales; Solanaceae. The record is from RNAcentral.